AUUGUUUCGAACGACAGCUUUUUUCAGUAAGAGCUGGCGGAUCGGUAUUGAGGGUCUUUGCCAUUUACCGUGGCUCCCUCGAAAUGCAUUAGCGCAUCCAUUUGAUAGGCGAAAGACGGACGAAAGCUCGAUUUUCGCCCUCUCUUCCCUGCCGGGUUUUGAUAAUAUCAGGACUUCGGAGGAGGAAUGAGGUGGGUGUGAGCUGGACGCAACGACUUUUGCUGGUUGGAGUGCUUCUGAACCCCGCCCUUUCUGUCAGAGAAAGGGAUUUAUUUCAAUU
This 280-nucleotide unclassified non-coding RNA is filed under the name uncultured Ustilago. RNAcentral's name for it is "sequence contains ITS2". Lineage: Eukaryota; Fungi; Basidiomycota; Ustilaginomycetes; Ustilaginales; Ustilaginaceae. The record is from RNAcentral.